UACGGAAGGCAGCAGUGGGGAAUAUUGCACAAUGGGCGCAAGCCUGAUGCAGCGACGCCGCGUGAGGGAUGACGGCCUUCGGGUUGUAAACCUCUUUCAGUAGGGAAGAAGCGAAAGUGACGGUACCUGCAGAAGAAGCACCGGCUAACUACGUGCCAGCAGCCGCGGUAAUACGUAGGGUGCGAGCGUUAUCCGGAAUUAUUGGGCGUAAAGAGCUCGUAGGCGGUUUUGUCGCGUCUGUCGUGAAAGUCCGGGGCUUAACCCCGGAUCUGCGGUGGGUACGGGCAGACUAGAGUGCAGUAGGGGAGACUGGAAUUCCUGGUGUAGCGGUGGAAUGCGCAGAUAUCAGGAGGAACACCGAUGGCGAAGGCAGGUCUCUGGGCUGUAACUGACGCUGAGGAGCGAAAGCAUGGGGGAGCGGAAACAGGGAUUAGAUACC
This 439-nucleotide ribosomal RNA is filed under the name uncultured bacterium. Its description in RNAcentral is "bacterial SSU rRNA". It matches the Rfam family "Bacterial small subunit ribosomal RNA", at positions 340 to 786 of the family's 1533-position model. The record is from RNAcentral.